UGGGGAAUCUUCCGUAAUGGACGAAAGUCUGACGGAGCAACGCCGCGUGAGUGAAGAAGGUUUUCGGAUCGUAAAACUCUGUCUUUUGGGGCGAACGUGAGUAUGGUGAACAAUCAUAGUCAGUGACGGUACCAAAGGAGGAAGCCACGGCUAACUACGUGCCAGCAGCCGCGGUAAUACGUAGGUGGCAAGCGUUGUCCGGAAUUAUUGGGCGUAAAGAGCGCGUAGGCGGGAUAGUCAGUCUGUUGUAAAAGUGCGGGGCUCAACCCCGUGAUGGCAAUGGAAACAGCUAUUCUUGAGUGCAGGAGAGGAAAGUGGAAUUCCCAGUGUAGCGGUGAAAUGCGUAGAUAUUGGGAGGAACACCAGUGGCGAAGGCGACUUUCUGGACUGUGUCUGACGCUGAGGCGCGAAAGCCAGGGGGAGCGAACGGGAUUUAGAUACCCCCGGUAGUCCUGGCCGUAAAACGAUGGGUACUAGGUGUGGGAGGUAUCGACCCCCUUUCCGUGCCGGAGUUAACGCAAAUAAGUACCCCGCCUGGGGAGUACGGUCGCAAGACUGAAACUUAAAGGAAUUGACGGGGGUCAUAGCUGUUUCCUG
Molecule: ribosomal RNA, 597 nt
Filed under: uncultured bacterium
Lineage: Bacteria
Description: partial 16S ribosomal RNA
Rfam family: Bacterial small subunit ribosomal RNA
Source: RNAcentral